This is a non-coding RNA of Acanthosepion pharaonis, 95 nucleotides long. NCBI's taxonomy places the organism in Eukaryota, Metazoa, Mollusca, Cephalopoda, Sepiida, Sepiidae. The record is from the annotation of a GenBank genome assembly.
UACGGACAUAUCACGCUGAAACACCGGUUCUCAUAAGAUCACCGAUGUUAAGCCAUGUCGAGCUUGGUCAGUACCUCGAUGGGUGACCGUUUGGC